RNAcentral lists this ribosomal RNA (467 nucleotides) under uncultured bacterium. RNAcentral describes it as "partial 16S ribosomal RNA". It matches the Rfam family "Bacterial small subunit ribosomal RNA", at positions 28 to 506 of the family's 1533-position model. The record is from RNAcentral.
GACGAACGCUGGCGGCGUGCUUAACACAUGCAAGUCGAACGGAAAGGCCCUGCUUUUGUGGGGUGCUCGAGUGGCGAACGGGUGAGUAACACGUGAGUAACCUGCCCUUGACUUUGGGAUAACUUCAGGAAACUGGGGCUAAUACCGGAUAGGAGCUCCUGCUGCAUGGUGGGGGUUGGAAAGUUUCGGCGGUUGGGGAUGGACUCGCGGCUUAUCAGCUUGUUGGUGGGGUAGUGGCUUACCAAGGCUUUGACGGGUAGCCGGCCUGAGAGGGUGACCGGCCACAUUGGGUCUGGGCUACGGCCCAGCCCCCUCCGGGAGGCAGCAGUGGGGAAUAUUGCACAAUGGGCGGAAGCCUGCUGCAGCAACGCGGCGUGCGGGAUGACGGCCUUCGGGUUGUAAACCGCUUUCGCCUGUGACGAAGCGUGAGUGACGGUAAUGGGUAAGGAAGCACCGGCUAACUACGU